This 862-nucleotide ribosomal RNA is filed under the name uncultured bacterium. RNAcentral's name for it is "bacterial SSU rRNA". It matches the Rfam family "Bacterial small subunit ribosomal RNA", at positions 28 to 896 of the family's 1533-position model. The record is from RNAcentral.
GACGAACGCUGGCGGCGUGCUUAAAACAUGCAAGUCGAACGGGGUCCAUGGAGUGGCAACACUCCGGGAAGACCGAGUGGCGAACGGGUGCGUAACACGUGAGGAACCUGCCCCGGAGACCGGGAUAACCCUCCGAAAGGAGAGCUAAUACCGGAUGUCCUCGUCUGAUCGCAUGGUCGGACGAAGAAAUGGAUUCCGCUCCGGGAUGGCCUCGCGGCCUAUCAGCUUGUUGGUGGGGUAACGGCCUACCAAGGCAGCGACGGGUAGCUGGUCUGAGAGGACGAUCAGCCACACUGGGACUGAGACACGGCCCAGACUCCUACGGGAGGCAGCAGUUAGGAAUCUUGCGCAAUGGGCGAAAGCCUGACGCAGCAACGCCGCGUGGGGGAUGAAGGCUCUCGGGUUGUAAACCCCUUUCAGCAGGGACGAUUGUGACGGUACCUGCAGAAGAAGGACCGGCCAACUACGUGCCAGCAGCCGCGGUAAUACGUAGGGUCCGAGCGUUGUCCGGAUUUAUUGGGCGUAAAGAGCUCGUAGGCGGUUCCGUAAGUCAGAUGUGAAAACUCAGGGCUCAACCCGGAGACGCCAUCUGAUACUGCGGUGACUGGAGUCUGGUAGGGGAACACGGAAUUCCUGGUGUAGCGGUGAAAUGCGCAGAUAUCAGGAGGAACACCGAUGGCGAAGGCAGUGUUCUGGGCCAGUACUGACGCUGAGGAGCGAAAGCGUGGGGAGCAAACAGGAUUAGAUACCCUGGUAGUCCACGCCGUAAACGUUGGGCACUAGGUGUGGGUCCUCAUCAACGGGAUCCGUGCCGUAGCUAACGCAUUAAGUGCCCCGCCUGGGGAGUACGGCCGCAAGGCUA